Molecule: non-coding RNA, 25 nt
Filed under: Cricetulus griseus (Chinese hamster)
Lineage: Eukaryota; Metazoa; Chordata; Mammalia; Rodentia; Cricetidae
Source: RNAcentral
UAUGGACUAGAUAAAUUUAUGUACU